Long non-coding RNA from Empidonax traillii (willow flycatcher), 1393 nucleotides. RefSeq lists it as uncharacterized. NCBI's taxonomy places the organism in Eukaryota, Metazoa, Chordata, Aves, Passeriformes, Tyrannidae. The transcript has 5 exons. The record is from RefSeq and is a predicted model, not a curated record.
GGAAGAGGGGCGGGACAGAGCGAUGCUGCCUGAACUGACAGCAAAUUUAAAUUACUGAGCUUUCUUUUGCUUUUUUUUCUUUCUUUGCUUGCCCUUUCUUUUUUUCCCCCCCCCUUUUUUUUUUUUUUUUUUUUGGUAUUUUUCUACUCUGCGACAAACUGAAAAGAUUCGAGCACACGCUAAUUUAACAACCCUGCUUCGUCGUCUUCUUUUUUUUUUCCCCCUUCUGCUUCCAGGAUAAUUAAAAGAGAAACCUGUAAAGGCAACGUUCCUUCAAGCAAGUUGGUGCUGUAACGUGCUGGUCUACAAAUAGAAAAAGCUCAAGGUGUUAAUCAGCUGAACAGGUAUUCAGCUCUUUUCAACAGAAUAACAAGGAGUAGAGAGACUGCCACAGAGUUAUCUGGAACAUUACCAAGGUGAGGUCUUCUGCCAAGCAAUUUCCCUCCCCCUGAGAGCACCAGGUCAUACUUUUCAUCCCUCAUGUUUCCUAUAAUGUGGAUGUCCUCUCAUGUCACCUGUGCUGCUUUGCCAGUCCUGUCAGGCUUGAACACCCAUCUGCCUACACUUUAUGAGUGUCUCUGCCAAACUAUGACAGAAUUGUCCAUACCUUCAUAUAAUAUUUACUGAAGCUUUAUUCUCCCUUAAAUAAAGCAGGGAUUUGGCAUAGCCCGUUUGUGGCCCUCUCUUCAAACACAGAAGUUUUGCUUUCCACCUUCAAAUAAAUUCCUUCUCAAAACUCACUCUUGUUUAGAGGCACAUAAAUAAUUGGUCAAGAAAACAUUACUCAUCCCGGAUGGCAGGCAGUGCUAGCUGAUAACAUUAAAAUAUCUUGAAUGUCAAACUAUAUGCAGUUAUCCAGAGCUAGUCUUUGGAAAUGAUAUCAUCUUCUAUCUUUUCCUAAACCACAUCAUUAAAAAGAAAAGAAAAAGAUUCCAGCCCUCGAUAUUUAAAUGUUCUCUAGUCAACUGUCUUAAAGAGCAGAUUUUCCAUAAUUUGGAUGCCUGCUAUUUUCUAAAGAAAGUCAUUAUUUUGAAAUGAGACUUGAAUUUAACUAAUCACUCCUUUAAAAUAAAAAAAAGUAACAAAACCUGAUGUUUGACCUUUUACUAUGCCUCAGAUGCUGAUUUCUAAAUACUAUUUUCUUUCAUCUAACCUUUGAGCUGCUUUCCUGCACUGCAAACAGGACUGCCUAUUACCCAUUAUAUCUGCUGUAGAGGAAUGCCCUGAUGGUGUUUGGUCUUUCUGAGGCAGUGUAAUAUAAAUUACAAUAAUUAUUUGGGAUGGUAACAAGUUUGAUUUAUUGUAAGCCAAUCUGGGGUUUUUUUGAGGAAAUAAUACACAGGGUGUCUCCUUGCUAUUCUGAUCUUUUAUUUUUCUGGAGUAAAGCUUCAAU